UACGUAGGUGGCAAGCGUUGUCCGGAAUUAUUGGGCGUAAAGGGUGCGUAGGCGGUUUUUUAAGUGGGAUGUGAAAUACCUGGGCUUAACUCAGGGAUUGCAUUCCAAACUGGAAAACUAGAGUGCAGGAGAGGAAAGUGGAAUUCCCAGUGUAGCGGUGAAAUGCGUAGAGAUUGGGAGGAACACCAGUGGCGAAGGCGACUUUCUAGACUGUAACUGACGCUGAGGCUCGAAAGCGUGGGGAGCAAAC
Molecule: ribosomal RNA, 250 nt
Filed under: uncultured bacterium
Lineage: Bacteria
Description: partial 16S ribosomal RNA
Rfam family: Bacterial small subunit ribosomal RNA
Source: RNAcentral